AGCAGCCGCGGUAAUUCCAGCUCCAAUAGCGUAUAUUAAAGUUGUUGCAGUUAAAAAGCUCGUAGUUGAAUUUCGGGAUCAGUACGCUGGUCGUGCCUUUGGUAUGUACUGGUGUCACUGAUUCCUCCCUUCUGAAGAACCGUUAUGCCAUUUAUUUGGUGUGGCGGGGAAUCAGGACUGUUACUUUGAAAAAUUAGAGUGUUUAAAGCAGGCUCGCGCUUGAAUACAUUAGCAUGGAAUAAUGAAAUAGGACGUUUGAUCUUAUUUUGUUGGUUUCUAGGAUCGACGUAAUGAUUAAUAGGGAUAGUUGGGGGCAUUAGUAUUCAAUUGUCAGAGGUGAAAUUCUUGGAUUUAUUGAAGACUAACUACUGCGAAAGCAUUUGCCAAGGAUGUUUUCAUUAAUCAAGAACGAAAGUUAGGGGAUCGAAGACGAUCAGAUACCGUCGUAGUCUUAACCAUAAACUAUGCCGACUAGGGAUCGGAUGAUGUUAUUUUUAAUGACUCAUUCGGCGUACCCG
This 518-nucleotide ribosomal RNA is filed under the name uncultured Glomus. Its description in RNAcentral is "SSU rRNA". It matches the Rfam family "Eukaryotic small subunit ribosomal RNA", at positions 569 to 1089 of the family's 1831-position model. The record is from RNAcentral. Lineage: Eukaryota; Fungi; Glomeromycota; Glomeromycetes; Glomerales; Glomeraceae.